UGCUGGAGGUAUCAGAAGUGCGAAUGCUGACAUAAGUAACGAUAAAGCGGGUGAAAAGCCCGCUCGCCGGAAGACCAAGGGUUCCUGUCCAACGUUAAUCGGGGCAGGGUGAGUCGACCCCUAAGGCGAGGCCGAAAGGCGUAGUCGAUGGGAAACGGGUUAAUAUUCCCGUACUUGGUGUUACUGCGAAGGGGGGACGGAGAAGGCUAUGUUGGCCGGGCGACGGUUGUCCCGGUUUAAGCGUGUAGGUGUGUGUUCCAGGUAAAUCCGGUUCACUUUAACACUGAGGCGUGAYGACGAGGCACUACGGUGCUGAAGCAACAAAUGCCCUGCUUCCAGGAAAAGCCUCUAAGCAUCAGGUAACAUCAAAUCGUACCCCAAACCGACACAGGUGGUCAGGUAGAGAAUACCAAGGCGCUUGAGAGAACUCGGGUGAAGGAACUAGGCAAAAUGGUGCCGUAACUUCGGGAGAAGGCACGCUGACAYGUAGGUGAAGUGAUUUACUCAYGGAGCUGAAGUCAGUCGAAGAUACCAGCUGGCUGCAACUGUUUAUUAAAAACACAGCACUGUGCAAACACGAAAGUGGACGUAUACGGUGUGACGCCUGCCCGGUGCCGGAAGGUUAAUUGAUGGGGUCAGCGCAAGCGAAGCUCCUGAUCGAAGCCCCGGUAAACGGCGGCCGUAACUAUAACGGUCCUAAGGUAGCGAAAUUCCUUGUCGGGUAAGUUCCGACCUGCACGAAUGGCGUAAUGAUGGCCAGGCUGUCUCCACCCGAGACUCAGUGAAAUUGAACUCGCUGUGAAGAUGCAGUGUACCCGCGGCAAGACGGAAAGACCCCGUGAACCUUUACUAUAGCUUGACACUGAACAUUGAGCCUUGAUGUGUAGGAUAGGUGGGAGGCUUUGAAGUGUGGACGCCAGUCUGCAUGGAGCCGACCUUGAAAUACCACCCUUUAAUGUUUGAUGUUCUAACGUGGACCCGUAAUCCGGGUUGCGGACAGUGUCUGGUGGGUAGUUUGACUGGGGCGGUCUCCUCCUAAAGAGUAACGGAGGAGCACGAAGGUUGGCUAAUCCUGGUCGGACAUCAGGAGGUUAGUGCAAUGGCAUAAGCCAGCUUGACUGCGAGCGUGACGGCGCGAGCAGGUGCGAAAGCAGGUCAUAGUGAUCCGGUGGUUCUGAAUGGAAGGGCCAUCGCUCAACGGAUAAAAGGUACUCCGGGGAUAACAGGCUGAUACCGCCCAAGAGUUCAUAUCGACGGCGGUGUUUGGCACCUCGAUGUCGGCUCAUCACAUCCUGGGGCUGAAGUAGGUCCCAAGGGUAUGGCUGUUCGCCAUUUAAAGUGGUACGCGAGCUGGGUUUAGAACGUCGUGAGACAGUUCGGUCCCUAUCUGCCGUGGGCGCUGGAGAACUGAGGGGGGCUGCUCCUAGUACGAGAGGACCGGAGUGGACGCAUCACUGGUGUUCGGGUUGUCAUGCCAAUGGCACUGCCCGGUAGCUAAAUGCGGAAGAGAUAAGUGCUGAAAGCAUCUAAGCACGAAACUUGCCC
Molecule: ribosomal RNA, 1545 nt
Filed under: Salmonella enterica
Lineage: Bacteria; Pseudomonadati; Pseudomonadota; Gammaproteobacteria; Enterobacterales; Enterobacteriaceae
Description: partial 23S ribosomal RNA
Source: RNAcentral